This 253-nucleotide ribosomal RNA is filed under the name uncultured bacterium. Its description in RNAcentral is "partial 16S ribosomal RNA". It matches the Rfam family "Bacterial small subunit ribosomal RNA", at positions 524 to 776 of the family's 1533-position model. The record is from RNAcentral.
UACGUAGGGCGCAAGCGUUAUCCGGAAUUAUUGGGCGUAAAGAGCUCGUAGGCGGUUUGUCGCGUCUGCCGUGAAAGUCCGGGGCUCAACUCCGGAUUUGCGGUGGGUACGGGCAGACUAGAGUGAUGUAGGGGAGACUGGAAUUCCUGGUGUAGCGGUGAAAUGCGCAGAUAUCAGGAGGAACACCGAUGGCGAAGGCGGGUCUCUGGGCCAUUACUGACGCUGAGGAGCGAAAGCGUGGGGAGCGAACAGG